GAUGCCUACGGGGCGCAGCAGUGAGGAAUAUUGGUCAAUGGUCGGGGGACUGAACCAGCCAAGCCGCGUGAGGGAGGAAGGUACAGAGUAUCGUAAACCUCUUUUGUCAGGGAACAAAGGCGGGGACGUGUCCCCGGAUGAGUGUACCUGAAGAAAAAGCAUCGGCUAACUCCGUGCCAGCAGCCGCGGUAAUACGGAGGAUGCGAGCGUUAUCCGGAUUUAUUGGGUUUAAAGGGUGCGCAGGCGGUCUGUUAAGUCAGCGGUCAAAGCCCGGGGCUCAAACCCGGUCCGCCGGUGUA
This 299-nucleotide ribosomal RNA is filed under the name uncultured bacterium. RNAcentral describes it as "partial 16S ribosomal RNA". It matches the Rfam family "Bacterial small subunit ribosomal RNA", at positions 334 to 631 of the family's 1533-position model. The record is from RNAcentral.